RNAcentral lists this ribosomal RNA (447 nucleotides) under uncultured organism. Its description in RNAcentral is "partial 16S ribosomal RNA". It matches the Rfam family "Bacterial small subunit ribosomal RNA", at positions 334 to 797 of the family's 1533-position model. The record is from RNAcentral.
CACUCCUGCGGGAGGCAGCAGUGGGGAAUAUUGGACAAUGGGCGCAAGCCUGAUCCAGCCAUGCCGCGUGAGUGAUGAAGGCCCUAGGGUUGUAAAGCUCUUUCGCCGGUGAAGAUAAUGACGGUAACCGGAGAAGAAGCCCCGGCUAACUUCGUGCCAGCAGCCGCGGUAAUACGAAGGGGGCUAGCGUUGUUCGGAUUUACUGGGCGUAAAGCGCACGUAGGCGGACUAUUAAGUCAGGGGUGAAAUCCCGGGGCUCAACCCCGGAACUGCCUUUGAUACUGGUAGUCUUGAGUUCGAGAGAGGUGAGUGGAAUUCCGAGUGUAGAGGUGAAAUUCGUAGAUAUUCGGAGGAACACCAGUGGCGAAGGCGGCUCACUGGCUCGAUACUGACGCUGAGGUGCGAAAGCGUGGGGAGCAAACAGGAUUAGAUACCCCUGUAGUCCCA